UACGGAGGGUGCGAGCGUUGUUCGGAAUCACUGGGCGUAAAGCGCGUGUAGGCGGCUUGUUAAGUCUGAUGUGAAAGCCCGGGGCUCACCCCCGGAAGUGCAUUGGAAACUGGCUCGCUCGAGUCUCGGAGAGGAGAGUGGAAUUCCUGGUGUAGCGGUGAAAUGCGUAGAUAUCAGGAGGAACACCGGUGGCGAAGGCGGCUCUCUGGACGAUGACUGACGCUGAGACGCGAAAGCGUGGGGAGCAAACAGG
This 253-nucleotide ribosomal RNA is filed under the name uncultured bacterium. RNAcentral describes it as "partial 16S ribosomal RNA". It matches the Rfam family "Bacterial small subunit ribosomal RNA", at positions 524 to 776 of the family's 1533-position model. The record is from RNAcentral.